AGUCAAGCAAGUAAGGGCUAAUGGAGGAUACCUAGGCACACAGAG
RNAcentral lists this ribosomal RNA (45 nucleotides) under Iphinoe sp. HA4291-MV1. RNAcentral's name for it is "partial 23S ribosomal RNA". Lineage: Bacteria; Bacillati; Cyanobacteriota; Cyanophyceae; Nostocales; Stigonemataceae. The record is from RNAcentral.